RNAcentral lists this long non-coding RNA (322 nucleotides) under Ananas comosus (pineapple). Its description in RNAcentral is "long non-coding RNA (ACOM_LNC001571)". Lineage: Eukaryota; Viridiplantae; Streptophyta; Magnoliopsida; Poales; Bromeliaceae. The record is from RNAcentral.
AAAAAAAAAAGAGAGAGAGAAAAAAAGAAAAAAAAAGAAUGAAUCAAAAAAAAAGGGAAAAGAAAAUAAAAAAAAGGAAAGAAAAGAAAAAAAAAAGAAAAGAAAGGAAAAGAAAAAAAAAAUACAAGAAAUAAAAGAGUUGUUAAGUGAAUAGAUUUGGGCUAUUCGAAAAUGGUCCAAUUCAUCACUUACUCAUAAGCCGGUUCAACUCAAAUCGAACUAAGGUUCAAAAACUUUGAACCAAACAAUAAACCGGUUCGACCUGAACGGAAUUACAAGUUGGUUCAACUCAAACUGAACCACAUGAGGAUCAAGUAGACCG